This 449-nucleotide ribosomal RNA is filed under the name uncultured bacterium. RNAcentral describes it as "partial 16S ribosomal RNA". It matches the Rfam family "Bacterial small subunit ribosomal RNA", at positions 29 to 523 of the family's 1533-position model. The record is from RNAcentral.
AACGAACGCUGGCGGCAUGCCUAACACAUGCAAGUCGAACGGGAUCUUCGGGUCUAGUGACGCACGGGUGCGUAACGCGUGGGAAUCUGCCCUUUGGUUCGGAAUAACAGUUGGAAACGACUGCUAAUACCGGAUGAUGACGAAAGUCCAAAGAUUUAUCGCCAGAGGAUGAGCCCGCGUAGGAUUAGCUAGUUGGUGUGGUAAAGGCGCACCAAGGCGACGAUCCUUAGCUGGUCUGAGAGGAUGAUCAGCCACACUGGGGCUGAGACACGGCGCAGACGACUUGGGGAGGCAGCAGGGGGGAACAUUGGACAAUGGGGGAAAGCCUGAUCAAGCCAUGCCGCGUGAGUGAUAAAGGCCUUAGGGUUGUAAAUCUCUUUUACCCGGGAUGAUAAUGACAGGACCGGGAGAAAAAGCUCCGGCUAUCUCCGUGCAGCCCGCCGCGGAAA